CUUCCCACUAUAAACAUAACGUUCUUUCUUAGCCAAAUAUUUGCCUUACUUAUUUGUGUGUAAAGAAUGAUGAUGAGAUAUAAAACAUAACCAGUAGUCAAUGUGCAUGCUGCCAAGUGAAUAGUGAAUAAGCUACUCUUUCGGGUUCAUAUAUUUGUAAAUCUGACUCUGAAGGAGUCAGUGCCUCACCAGCUUCAGUACUGGCAGCAGAAAUCGUCAACAUAUAGUCUGCUGGCGCGAGUGGCUGAGGACCUUGUCUGUGCACCUGCAUUACAGUCGUACGUCAUGCGAAUAUUUUCACUGUGUGGCUAUCUGAGCAAUGGACAUCAUUGUAACGUGAACACAUCUCUCGAAAUGCACGCUUGUUUAAAGCUUAACAGCAACGUGCUUAUACAGACUGGUUUCUUGAGUUGAAACAUUUGAUUUUGCUGACUACACUCAUGAGGCCACUUCAUCUGUCUGAUCAUCGAUAGUCAAGCUGUGUUUAACGCCAUUAUGAACUGUGUGAUCAUAACACUAGCAGCCCCAGACUCCAUAAUGGGGCUUGCCAGACGGGAUGCUUGCCACCCAUUGUACAGGAGGAUGCUCUCUCCAUAGCAGAAAAAAUGUAACACUAAGGAGAUUAAUGAAAACCUACCUACUCCAGAGCACUCUGGGCUUCAGGUUCACCUUGCAACAGGACAAUGAACCUAAGCAAAAAGUAAAGACUACACACUCUGUGAAUGUCCUUGAGUGCCCCUGAAAAUGCUGUCUACUGAUGGUCUCCAUUAAACCUGGCUGAGCGUGAGAGGAUCUGCAGAAGGGAACGGCACAAUAUCCACAAAUACAGGUUUGUGAAGCUUAUUUCAUCAUACCCAAGAAGACUCCAGGCUGUAAUUGCUGCUAAAGGUGUUUCAACAAAGUAUUGAGUAAAGUUCUGAAUACUUGUGUCAAUGUGAUAUUUCAGGUUUUCUUUUAAUAAAUCUUCAUAAAUGUCUAAAAUCCUGUUUUCACUUUGUCAUUCAGGAGUACUGAGUGUUGUCUGAGGUGGGGAAAAAUACAUUUAAACUAUUUUAGCGCAAGUCUGCAACAUAACAAAAUGUGUAUAAAGUGGUGGGGUAUGAAUACUUUCUGAAGGCACUGUAUACACAAGACACAGUAUGUUUCUGAAACUGAAAGAAGAGUUUGCUAACAGGCCCCUCAUUGAUGACUGAUGGGCAACUCUUUUUACCAACUAAUACUGUGAAUAUAAUUGACAAUUGAGUUAAGCAGUUCAUUAGGUCUUCUGCCAUGAUCCUCUCAGACUAUAUCUCAUGAUAUAAAUAUUCACAAUAUAUACACUGCCCUUGUUCUGAAUUUCAUUAGAUGAAAGCCUCAAGCCUCUUCCUACUGGAAAACUAUCCAGAGUCAUCUUCUUACUGCAUAUAAUAUGCUACUGUGGCUGUCCGCUUGUAUGGAUACAAUGAGGCUAUUAGAAAUAAACUGGAUGCAUUAGGAUUAAUAGUCAAAUCGGAGGUAAAAAGCUUAGGGGUAACCGUUGAUUGUAAUCUGAAUUUUAAAUCGCAUAUUAAUCAGAUCACUAGGACAGCAUUUUUUCACCUAAGAAACAUAGCAAAAGUUAGACCUCUUAUAUCAUCGAAAGAUGCAGAGAAGUUAGUUCAUGCGUUUGUUUUCAGUCGGCUAGAUUACUGUAACGCACUCCUCUCAGGACUACCCAAAAAAGACAUCAAUCGUUUGCAACUAGUGCAGAAUGCAGCUGCUAGAAUCCUUACCAGGAAAAGAAAAUCCAAACACAUUUCUCCAGUUUUGAUGUCACUACACUGGUUACCUGUGUCAUUCAGAAUUGACUUUAAAAUUCUGCUUAUGGUUUAUAAAGCUUUAAAUAAUCUCGCCCCGGCUUAUAUAUCGGAAUGUCUGACACCUUAUAUUCCAAAUCGUAACCUCAGAUCCUCAACUGAGUGUCUCCUUAGAAUUCCAAGAGCAAAACUUAAAAGAAGUGGUGAGGCGGCCUUCUGCUGUUAUGCACCUAAAAUCUGGAAUAGCCUGCCAGUAGGAAUUCGCCAGGCUAAUACAGUGGAGCACUUUAAAAAACUGCUGAAAACACAUUACUUUAACAUGGCCUUCUCAUAACUUCACUGUAAUUUAAUCCUGAUACUCUGUAUAUCCAAUUCAUUAUAAUAACUAUUCAUUCAAAAUCUGUACUAACCCCUACACUCUCUUCUGUUUCCUUUUCCGGUGUCCUGUUGGUGGUGGCGUGCGCCACCACCAUCUACCCAAAGCACCAUGAUGUUCCAACAAUGAUGGAUGGAUUAAAAGCCAGAAGUCUGUAUGACCAUCAGCAUCAAGUGACUCCGUGAAAAGCCCGAACUACAAAGAGGACUAUUUCAUUUAUGUUAGGUAGAAUGCCCAGAGGGGACUGGGCGGUCUCGUGGCCUGGAACCCCUACAGAUUUUAUUUUUUUCUCCAGCCUUCUGGAGUUUUUUUUUGUUUUUUCUGUCCCCCCUGGCCAUCGGACCUUACUCCUUUCUAUGUUAAUUAAUGUUGUCUUAUUUUAAUUUCUUAUUUUGUCUUUUAUUUUUCUUCUCUUCAUUAUGUAAAGCACUUUGAGCUACUUUUUGUAUGAAAAUGUGCUAUAUAAAUAAAUGUUGUUGUUGUUGUCUG
This is a long non-coding RNA of Erpetoichthys calabaricus (reedfish), 2640 nucleotides long. RefSeq lists it as uncharacterized. The transcript has 3 exons. The record is from RefSeq and is a predicted model, not a curated record. Lineage: Eukaryota; Metazoa; Chordata; Cladistia; Polypteriformes; Polypteridae.